Molecule: ribosomal RNA, 903 nt
Filed under: Candidatus Krumholzibacteriia bacterium
Lineage: Bacteria; Candidatus Krumholzibacteriota; Candidatus Krumholzibacteriia
Description: partial 23S ribosomal RNA
Rfam family: Archaeal large subunit ribosomal RNA
Source: RNAcentral
UUGAAAUCUGUUAGUCACAUAUGGUUACGGCACUAAGGUGUUGUAACGUACGUUUGGAAAAAUGGGCCAAGGAGUUUAUCAAAGUGGCGAGGUUAACGAAAGGAGCCGAAGCGAAAGCGAGUAUGAAAAUGCGUUAGUCACUUGGGUAAGACCCGAAGCCGGACGAUCUAUUCGUGGACAAGCUGAAGUUUUCCGAAAGGAGAAUGGAAGGCUGAACCGUUGUUGUGUGCAUGCACUCGAAUGAUCUGCGAAUAGGGGUGAAAAGCCUAUCUAGUUCGGCGAUGGCUGGUUCCUGUUGAAAUAUGCCUCAGUAUAGUCUCACUUAGUUUGUUGGCGGGGUAAAGUACGGAUAGAAUUCGCAGGGUCGAAAGAUUACGGAAUUUCUUCCAACUCUGAACCUGUCAGCUGCUUAAAGUGGGAAUCGGGGGCAGCGCGUAAGGUGCUGUUCCGAGACCGGAACAACGGAGACUGGAGUUAAGGUCCCAAAAUGUAUACUAAGUGUAACGAAAGGUGUCUUGAACCUGAGACAGUGGGGAUGUAGGCCCAGAAGCAGCCAACAUUUAAAGAAAGCGUAAUAGCUCACCUAUCGAGGUUCGAGGCCCUGAAAAUGGACGGGGCUAAGUAUACUACCGAUACUCCGGAGGCGCUCAGAUGAGCGUUCUGGUAAGCAGGCGUCUGUUCUGCGCAGAAGUUUUUUCGUAAGAAAGGAUGGAGCGGGACGGAAUGAGAAUCUUGGCGUUAGUAAGAUCAGAUCAACCUGAGAAUGGUUGGCGUCGCAAGAGCAAGGUUUCCUUGGCAAUAUCGUUUAACCAAGGGUUAGUCGGUACCUAAGCUAUACCUUAACUGAGUAUAGCGAAUGGAAAUCAGGUUAAUAUUCCUGAACUAAUCAAACUUUGCAUAUAA